Long non-coding RNA from Chiloscyllium plagiosum (whitespotted bambooshark), 1616 nucleotides. RefSeq lists it as uncharacterized. Lineage: Eukaryota; Metazoa; Chordata; Chondrichthyes; Orectolobiformes; Hemiscylliidae. The record is from RefSeq and is a predicted model, not a curated record.
AGAUAUUUUGAACUAACCUGUUCAGAUGUGGUUGACCGACCUUUGGAGCAGGCAGUGUUGAAGCUAGACCUCCUAGCUCAGAGAUCUCCAGCAUCUGCUGGCUCAGAGCUGCCCUGCACCAACUUCGUCGAUGUCCUACCAGGAAACGUUUUCUGCCCCUUUCAGGCAUUAAAAAAAGCAAGAUGUUACAAUUCAGAGAUAAACAUGCCUCUCUGGAACAUUCCAUCCCUCCCCUUCCCUCUGACUCUAUCCCUUCCUAACCCUACCACCUGUCAUGUAUUUAUUAUCCUUUAUGACUUUCCACUCUCUGAUGCUGAAUGUUCUGUACUCAGCCAAGGUCUGCAUCCCCACCUCAGUGAAAUUUGGGAAUGACAUGACGUUGAACUCUGCUUCUGUCGCCUUCACCUUCAUGCCCAUUUCUUUGGACAAGAGUCCUCUUGCCGUCCCACAGUCCCCUUCAUCCAGUUCCAAGACUCUUACUCCAUCUGGACCCCUCCCUCUGACCAUUGACCUUGUUCAUCAAGAAUUGUCACCGUGAUGUUUACCUCAAUUCCUGUAUCAUCGUCAACCAUUUGAACAUAUCUCCCCCUGAACUGACUGCACUCCCUGCUCUCAGAUCCAACACUGCCAUUGUAAUGAAGCCUGCUGACGAGGGUGGUGCUGUCAUUGUCUGGUGGACUGACCUCUACAUUGUGGAGGCUAAAUGCCAGCUCUCAGACACCUCCUUCUAUCUCCCUCCUUCAAUCUCCCACCCUACUACCCCCGUCCCCCCACCCCACCCCCAGCAUCUCCAAACCCUCGCCCCACACAGGCCAUUUCCACCUCCUUCUCAAAAUCCACAAACAGGACUGCCCGGGUAGACCCAUUGUUUCUGCCUGCUCCUGCUCCACAAAACUCAUCUCUUCCUACCGUGACAUCAUUUUCUUUCUCCCCUUCUCCAGUCCCUUCCCACUUAACAUUGUGGUUCUUCAGAUGCUUUAUGUUAGUUUCAGGAUUUCCAGUUCAUGUGCUCCAGCCGCCUCCUUCUCACUGUGGUUGACAGGGCCCUCAGCUGUGUCUGACCCAUCUCCCACAUUUCUGCCCUCAACGCUUCCCACCCUUCCACAACACUGUUAGGGGCCCCUGACCUUCCCUCAGCACCCCAUCAGCGUCCAUAUCCAGAGGAUUGUCAGCUGCCAUUUCUGUGACCUCGGAUGAGAUGCCACUACUAGACACAUGUUCCCUUCCCCUCACUUGUCAAACUUCCACAGGGACCAUUCCCUCCAGGACACCUUGGUCCACUAUUCCUUCACUCCCAAAACCUCUCCUCAGCCCCUUGGCACCUUUCCAUGCCAUUGUGGGAAGUGUAACACCUACACAUUAACUUCCUCCCUCUUCACUAUCUAAGACCCCAGAUACACCUUUAAGGUGGAUUGUUAUAUUGUUUUUUCACAGGUAACAACUUUCCAACAAAAAGCUCACCAAUUUAUAUACUCAUUUCUAACCAAUGGCGUUUACUCCGUGUUAAUUCCAAGUUGACUGCAGCAUGUGCUUCCAGGAUUUGAACACAACAGUCUAGCCUGACACUCGAAUGUAUUACUGAGGGAGAGCUGCAGUAGUGGAAAUACCAGGCUAAA